AAAUUUUUAUAUACUGAUAAUUUAGCCAAAAAAUUCUCUUUUUUCGGGAAACGCGACAACAAAGAACCAUUUUCUGAGUAUUUAUUAAAAACAGCAGUUAUAAAUGCUGUGAAUAUCUGUCAUUCAGAUGCAACUGACCGUUGUGUAGAGGAUAUAUUGAAAGUAUGGUUAAAACAUGCACCACAGC
Linepithema humile (Argentine ant) is the source of this 187-nucleotide non-coding RNA. The record is from RefSeq and is a predicted model, not a curated record. NCBI's taxonomy places the organism in Eukaryota, Metazoa, Arthropoda, Insecta, Hymenoptera, Formicidae.